RNAcentral lists this ribosomal RNA (253 nucleotides) under uncultured bacterium. Its description in RNAcentral is "partial 16S ribosomal RNA". It matches the Rfam family "Bacterial small subunit ribosomal RNA", at positions 524 to 776 of the family's 1533-position model. The record is from RNAcentral.
UACGAAGGGGGCUAGCGUUGUUCGGAAUCACUGGGCGUAAAGCGCACGUAGGCGGAUCUUUAAGUCAGGGGUGAAAUCCCGAGGCUCAACCUCGGAACUGCCUUUGAUACUGGGGAUCUCGAGUCCGGAAGAGGUGAGUGGAACUCCGAGUGUAGAGGUGAAAUUCGUAGAUAUUCGGAAGAACACCAGUGGCGAAGGCGGCUCACUGGUCCGGUACUGACGCUGAGGUGCGAAAGCGUGGGGAGCAAACAGG